This 243-nucleotide ribosomal RNA is filed under the name uncultured Pichia. RNAcentral's name for it is "partial large subunit ribosomal RNA". It matches the Rfam family "Eukaryotic large subunit ribosomal RNA", at positions 37 to 282 of the family's 3401-position model. The record is from RNAcentral. Lineage: Eukaryota; Fungi; Ascomycota; Saccharomycetes; Saccharomycetales; Saccharomycetaceae.
UGCAUAUCAAUAAGCGCGGAGGAAAAGAAACCAACAGGGAUUGCCUCAGUAGCGGCGAGUGAAGCGUCAAGAGCUCAGAUUUGAAAUCGUGCUUUGCGGCACGAGUUGUAGAUUGCAGGUUGGAGUCUGUGUGGAAGGCGGUGUCCAAGUCCCUUGGAACAGGGCGCCCAGGAGGGUGAGAGCCCCGUGGGAUGCCGGCGGAAGCAGUGAGGCCCUUCUGACGAGUCGAGUUGUUUGGGAAUA